UGGGGAAUAUUGGACAAUGGGCGCAAGCCUGAUCCAGCCAUGCCGCGUGAGUGACGAAGGUCUUCGGAUUGUAAAACUCUUUUGGCGGGGACGAUAAUGACGGUACCCGCAGAAUAAGCCCCGGCUAACUUCGUGCCAGCAGCCGCGGUAAUACGAAGGGGGCUAGCGUUGUUCGGAAUCACUGGGCGUAAAGCGCACGUAGGCGGAUGUGCCAGUCAGGGGUGAAAUCCCGGAGCUCAACUCCGGAACUGCCUCUGAUACAGCACGUCUUGAGUUCGAGAGAGGUGGGUGGAAUUCCUAGUGUAGAGGUGAAAUUCGUAGAUAUUGGGAAGAACACCAGUGGCGAAGGCGGCUAACUGGUCCGGUACUGACGCUGAGGUGCGAAAGCGUGGGGAGCAAACAGGAUUAGAUACCCUCGUAGUCCCUGAGCGGGCUGGCAAGGCGCAU
Molecule: ribosomal RNA, 447 nt
Filed under: uncultured bacterium
Lineage: Bacteria
Description: bacterial SSU rRNA
Rfam family: Bacterial small subunit ribosomal RNA
Source: RNAcentral